RNAcentral lists this transfer RNA (74 nucleotides) under Anaerolineaceae bacterium. Its description in RNAcentral is "tRNA-Val". It matches the Rfam family "tRNA". From Rfam's summary of the family: Transfer RNA (tRNA) molecules are approximately 80 nucleotides in length. Their secondary structure includes four short double-helical elements and three loops (D, anti-codon, and T loops). Lineage: Bacteria; Bacillati; Chloroflexota; Anaerolineae; Anaerolineales; Anaerolineaceae. RNAcentral also lists the same sequence under 2 other names. The record is from RNAcentral.
GGGCGGGUAGCUCAGCUGGUUAGAGCGCUUCUCUUACACAGAAGAGGUCGCAGGUUCGAGUCCUGUCCUGCCCA